RNAcentral lists this ribosomal RNA (255 nucleotides) under uncultured bacterium. Its description in RNAcentral is "partial 16S ribosomal RNA". It matches the Rfam family "Bacterial small subunit ribosomal RNA", at positions 524 to 776 of the family's 1533-position model. The record is from RNAcentral.
UACGAAGGGGGCUAGCGUUGUUCGGAAUCACUGGGCGUAAAGGGCGCGUAGGCGGCUUUGUAAGUCGGGGGUGAAAGCCUGUGGCUCAACCACAGAAUUGCCUUCGAUACUGCAUGGCUUGAGACCGGAAGAGGUUAGUGGAACUGCGAGUGUAGAGGUGAAAUUCGUAGAUAUUCGCAAGAACACCAGUGGCGAAGGCGGCUGACUGGUCCGGAUCGUGACGCUGACGGCGCGAAAGCGUGGGGAGCAAGCAGG